Molecule: ribosomal RNA, 700 nt
Filed under: Shigella flexneri
Lineage: Bacteria; Pseudomonadati; Pseudomonadota; Gammaproteobacteria; Enterobacterales; Enterobacteriaceae
Description: partial 23S ribosomal RNA
Rfam family: Bacterial large subunit ribosomal RNA
Source: RNAcentral
UUUGUAUAAUGGGUCAGCGACUUAUAUUCUGUAGCAAGGUUAACCGAAUAGGGGAGCCGAAGGGAAACCGAGUCUUAACUGGGCGUUAAGUUGCAGGGUAUAGACCCGAAACCCGGUGAUCUAGCCAUGGGCAGGUUGAAGGUUGGGUAACACUAACUGGAGGACCGAACCGACUAAUGUUGAAAAAUUAGCGGAUGACUUGUGGCUGGGGGUGAAAGGCCAAUCAAACCGGGAGAUAGCUGGUUCUCCCCGAAAGCUAUUUAGGUAGCGCCUCGUGAAUUCAUCUCCGGGGGUAGAGCACUGUUUCGGCAAGGGGGUCAUCCCGACUUACCAACCCGAUGCAAACUGCGAAUACCGGAGAAUGUUAUUACGGGAGACACACGGCGGGUGCUAACGUCCGUCGUGAAGAGGGAAACAACCCAGACCGCCAGCUAAGGUCCCAAAGUCAUGGUUAAGUGGGAAACGAUGUGGGAAGGCCCAGACAGCCAGGAUGUUGGCUUAGAAGCAGCCAUCAUUUAAAGAAAGCGUAAUAGCUCACUGGUCGAGUCGGCCUGCGCGGAAGAUGUAACGGGGCUAAACCAUGCACCGAAGCUGCGGCAGCGACGCUUAUGCGUUGUUGGGUAGGGGAGCGUUCUGUAAGCCUGUGAAGGUGUGCUGUGAGGUAUGCUGGAGGUAUCAGAAGUGCGAAUGCUGACAUAAG